UAGUUUUUUUUCUCUCUAUAAAAUUGACUUCAUUAUUCUGCACCUAAACAAUUAACACCCUUAUUUAUUAUUUAGGUUAGCAACAGUAUUUUCUCUCUCUUGAUUAUUGAAGGUUUCAAAAGUCAAAAAUGAAUUUCUUGACUCGAACCAUUUUUCCUUUGAUUAUAGUCUUUCAUUUAUGCUUGUCCUUGAUUAUAUAUUUCGUUUAGCAUUUACAAACUAGAGCAGGCUGGCUUAUUUAUUCUAGAGUUUAGAGUAGUAGGUGAUUGUUAGUGAUAGCGAUGGAUCUUUAAUUAUUUAUACUUAGGUACGUGUUUUUGGAUCUUGCAUUCAUUGAUCACGUUUAAGUCUGUUAGAUUGAAAUCGGGAUUAAGGGAGUUCACAAUUGAUUAGGGAUACAAAACACAGGAUUUUCAUAAAAUAAGAGGUUUUUUAGUGGUUCGGAGAGGUAGGGGACGCUAAUUUAUAGGAUAAACUCAUAUAAAAUUAUACUACUACUAUUUUAGUGGUUCGGAGAGGUAGGACAAUCGUGAGAGGAGCAGGAGAUGAAAGAAACAGUUCGGUUCUGGAAUGUUUUUGGUUGGCCUAAAUCUCAGAACACUGAAAGUGAAAUCGGGGCAUCAUCUCUUGGAAGGACGCAAAUUCGCUGAUCCUCUGCUAUGUAUCACUCUGCGCAUAUCAUCCUAUUUAUUCCUUGUCGCUGUGGUCACAAGAAUGUUACUUACGGCUCCUAUCACAGAAAUGUUUGGAGACGACACCAAGCGAGGUCACAAAUAUCAGCUGAUUGUACUCCAACAAUCAAGCAAAACUGGUAAUACUUUUUUGAAACAUGAGCAAAGUGUAUAGGAACUGUCAUGCUUGGUAACAUUUGGUUGAAGUUAAAGAGUAAAAACAGAAGAAGCUUCCGGUGGCCUAUUUUAUUUUAUUGUAAAUAAUUAUUCUUGGAGUUGAGGAGAUCGUCUAUCGUUCUCCAAGAUAUUUUUCAUUAAUGUGUAAAUCUUAUUUUAUUUUA
Salvia splendens (bonfire salvia) is the source of this 1012-nucleotide long non-coding RNA. RefSeq lists it as uncharacterized. Lineage: Eukaryota; Viridiplantae; Streptophyta; Magnoliopsida; Lamiales; Lamiaceae. The transcript has 2 exons. The record is from RefSeq and is a predicted model, not a curated record.